AUGGCGCUCUCUCGUCGCAGCGCCGCAUCCGCCCUCCUGCUUCUCGUGCUCCUCGUGGCCACAGAGAUGGGGACGACGACGACCAAGCUGGCGGAGGCGCGGGACUGCCUGUCGCAGAGUCACAACUUCAAGGGCGCCUGCCUCAGCAGCAGCAACUGCGCCGGCGUCUGCCACACCGAGAGCUUCCCCGGCGGCGAGUGCCACACGCAGCACUUCGAGCGCAAGUGCUUCUGCAAGAGGGUCUGCUAG
RNAcentral lists this ribosomal RNA (249 nucleotides) under Triticum aestivum (bread wheat). RNAcentral's name for it is "partial small subunit ribosomal RNA". The record is from RNAcentral. Lineage: Eukaryota; Viridiplantae; Streptophyta; Magnoliopsida; Poales; Poaceae.